UAUCGGGAUGGGAUUAAGACAUGUUAGUCGUGCGCUUCCUAGCCAUGAUGGAGGCGCGGCGCACAGCUCAGUAUCACGUGGCUAACCUAACCUUAGGACGGGGGCACCCCCGGGAAACUGGGGCUAAUUUCCGAUAGGUGAAGAUUCCUGGAAUGGAUUUUUGCCUAAAGGGCACUUGGGUCAUGCUUCCAGGUGUUGCCUAAGGAUGGGGCCGCGGCCGAUCAGGUUGUUGGUGAGGUAAUGGCCCACCAAGCCUUUUACCGGUGCGGGCCGUGGGAGCGGGAGCCCGGAGAUGGGCACUGAGACAAGGGCCCAGGCCCUACGGGGCGCAGCAGUCGCGAAAAUUUCGCAAUAAGCGAAAGCUUGACGGAGCUAUCCCGAGUGCCAUCCGCUGAGGAUGGCUUUUCUCUAGUAUAGAUAGCUGGGGGAAUAAGGAGAGGGCAAGUCUGGUGUCAGCCGCCGCGGUAAUACCAGCUCUCCGAGUGGUGGGGAUGAUUAUUGGGCCUAAAGCAUCCGUAGCCGGCUGAGCAAGUCCCCUGUUAAACCCAGCGAUUCAAUCGCUGGCCUGCGGGGGAUACUGCUUGGCUAGGGGGCGAGAGAGGCCGUCGGUAUUCCCGGGGUAGGGGUGAAAUCCUAUAAUCCCGGGAGGACCACCAGUGGCGAAGGCUGUCGGCUAGAACGCGCUCGACGGUGAGGGAUGAAAGCUGGGGGAGCGAACCGGAUUAGAUACCCGGGUAGUCCCAGCUGUAAACGAUGCAGGCUUGGUGUUAGGGCGGCCACGUGCCGCUCUAGUGCCGCAGGGAAGCUGUUAAGCCUGCCGCCUGGGGAGUACGGCCGCAAGGCUGAAACUUAAAGGAAUUGGCGGGGGAGCACCACAAGGGGUGAAGCUUGCGGUUUAAUUGGAUCAACGCCGGAA
RNAcentral lists this ribosomal RNA (916 nucleotides) under uncultured archaeon. RNAcentral's name for it is "bacterial SSU rRNA". It matches the Rfam family "Archaeal small subunit ribosomal RNA", at positions 31 to 923 of the family's 1478-position model. The record is from RNAcentral.